RNAcentral lists this non-coding RNA (32 nucleotides) under Geobacter sulfurreducens KN400. Lineage: Bacteria; Pseudomonadati; Thermodesulfobacteriota; Desulfuromonadia; Geobacterales; Geobacteraceae. The record is from RNAcentral.
AUCGUGGCGAACGCUUUGGCGAACGAUUGAAU